GGCAAAAUUGGCAUGUGAUACCUUUUCGGAAAGCCCAAAGAGAGCCCUCCGACGAAAGAAGCAAGACAAUGGAACUUUUCCAUUGACUUUUUGUCGACUCCAAAUUUUGACCUUUAAGUACUUUUUCGGGCAUUUUCGUGAUUUGUGCUAUAUUACGGACCCAAAAUUACUUUUUCAAGCAUUGUUUUCGAAUAUUUUUCAUGCAUCAAAGCUCGUUAAGACUAGAUGGGGUAUCCCUACAUGGCGGGUGGGACCCACGGCGAACGGUUCAUCAAGACUUAAAAAAAGAAUAUAUACGAUUGCAUUGCAUAUACUAACGGAUGCGAUCAUACCAGCACUAAUGCACCGGAUCCCAUCAGAACUCCGCAGUUAAGCGUGCUUGGGCGAGAGUAGUAUUAGGAUGGGUGACCUCCCGGGAAGUCCUCGUGUUGCAUCCCUCUUUUUUUUUUUUUUUUUUUUGGUUAAAACUUUAUGACUCCAUAACUUUUAUACCGAGA
This 497-nucleotide ribosomal RNA is filed under the name Arabidopsis thaliana (thale cress). Lineage: Eukaryota; Viridiplantae; Streptophyta; Magnoliopsida; Brassicales; Brassicaceae. The record is from RNAcentral.